This is a long non-coding RNA of Lytechinus pictus (painted urchin), 3736 nucleotides long. RefSeq lists it as uncharacterized. The record is from RefSeq and is a predicted model, not a curated record. The transcript is spliced from 3 exons. Lineage: Eukaryota; Metazoa; Echinodermata; Echinoidea; Temnopleuroida; Toxopneustidae.
GGUUUAUUGACGAACUUUUGAGGAGAGGACCCAACGCUGUUUCGGCUUUCAUAGAAUCAUUGGAAAGAGAAAGAGUUGAACAAUUUGUCUUUAGUACACUCGCAGAUGAAUUACAAUCAUUCAAACUUGAAGACCUGAAUAUCCCGUCAACCAAUCACAACCAUCAAGACAAUGUCGGCAGUCAUGAGAAUUUCGAUAUCGACGACGAUGCCGUGUGCGAUGACGAACGACGGUUUCAUUCGUUGUCGGCUUCCGACGAUACGACUCUCAUCGACGGAUACCAAGCUGCCCUUCCGCCUAUCGAUUUUAAUAGACUUCGGCAAGCUGAGGGAUUACACGUACCGGAAGAAGAACGUGGUGAACCGGAAGAAUGCUCUGACAUCAGUAGUCAAGAUGGAUUAAUAAGCCACGCCCCUUAGCAACGAACUUUGUCAACUUUGCCUCGCCGCCCUAAAAAUGCCAUGGCCCGUAUUCUGAAGUCUGUUUCAUCUCAGGCCAAGGUCCUAAAUCUGGGUUAAGAUUAUGGAAAGCCUAAAAUGUCAAAAUUCUGUUAACAUUGAAUGUUUCUUAUGUUCACCGUGAUCUUUAAUUAUGCAAUAAUGGUGAAGAAAGAAAAAAAAACAAUUCAGCUACUAUACUAUUCCCCGACAUUUAUGAAUGAUGCGAAUAACAGAUGAGCUGAUAAAAUCUGCUUGUUAAUCGUGUCACAACUGGCUCUCCAUAGUUAAACCGUAACUUUAGAUUGGUCAGAGAUGAACUGAUAAAUCUGCUAAUUAUUCGUGUCACAACUGGCUCUCCAUAGUUAAACCGUAACUUUAGAUUGAUCAGAUUUUAAAUCUAAUUAUUUGCAUUUCGAUGUAAUCUUUUCACCUCCUCCCGGGCGUCCUCCAUCAAAGGGAAAGUGGUUGUAACCGCGGGUCAAAGUAUUUCUGUAAAUACUGUACUGUCCUGUUACACUCUCUUUCAAGGAUCGAGCAGGCCCCAUCUUUCAAAGAGUUACGAUCGAUCCAACUAUAUGGAAAUCCAUCAAUGACAUAAUUUUUCUUCAGGAAAUAAUUUAUGCACAAUGUCCUUUGUAGACAAAAAGAAGCACAUUGGAUUUACUAGAAGAUGAUUGAUGUAUGAAUAUACAGCAUAUCUAGAAAAUAUUUCGAACAAACGUGCAUUUUAGAUGUUGAUGUUGCUGGCUUUCCAUAGUUAUGUUUGAUCUGAUCAAUCACAACUCUUUGUAAGACGGGGCCCUGAUCUGCGUUGAAAAAAAAUCAAUACAUUCCUUAUCAAAUUUAUAUACAUAUUUGAAAUUACCAUUUGGGUGACAGUGGUAUUUACCUCAUAAGUAUCAACUUGAAAUCAAAUUUUAUAUCGUAGUGAUGCAUAUACAAAAGAAAAAUAAAUUGUGUAGAUAAAUUGCUACAGUUCGUUAUUCCGAAGGUUGGUAUAUACAAUAGUUUAGAAAUUCAAAAUUCUUAUUUGACCAAAGCUCCAUUGAUCUGAAAAGAAAAUAGGAUUUUCUAUUCCGAAAGUUCAUUAAUCCGAUGAAUAUGAUAUUUACUAACCUUUGAAAAUACGAGUUACGUUAUCGGGUCUUAAAAUUAGAAUACGGGUCUUAUAAUUAGAAUAGUCCUUACACUUAACUUCCAAUGAAUUAAAAUAGAUCCAAAUCGGCUGUUGAUAGUGGCCAGCUGAGUAGUAGAUUUAGAUUUAAACCUUGUAGAUUUAAAUAUCAAGCAUACACUGAAAUAUUUGAAUUAAAUCUUUAGAGAUUAAAAGCCAAACCUUAAGAUUAAAAAUAAAUCAUGGUCCUUAUUGACAGUCGACCUGGAUUGAUUUUAAUCCUUCAAAUUUAGAGUGUGGGUUAUUUUUGUAAUAGUGAAAUGACUAUUCUUAGCUCUAUAUUAAUUAUCAUGCUUAUAGUAUUCGUGCUUUACAAUGACCUAAUUAAUCAUUGUUUAUAACAGCCCAGUAACACAUAAGGAAACGGAUUGGAAAUCGAUCAAUGGUGUAUCAGGAAUUGUGUGAUAAUAUCCUUAUUAUUGUCACCAUUUACAAAAUUCAUGACAUGUAAAGGAGUGGGUUUUCAUUCACUUUAUGGUACAUGAAUUGAAAAUGUGGGGAUUAUCUAUCUCCCCCUUAUAACAAAUUUGACCUGGAUUUAUUUAAAUCCAUUUAUAUAAAAAAGACAAUUAUCGGCAGGGUGAACUUCCCCUUAAAGGACAAGUCCCCCUUAAAGGACAAGACAAAAAGUUGAUUUGAAUAAUAAGAGAAAAAUCCAACAAGCAUAACACCGAAAAUGUCAGCAAUUUCGGAUGUUAAAUAAGAAAGUUAUGACAUUUCAAAGUUUUGCUUAAUUUCACAAAACGGUUAUAUGCACAUCCCGGUCGGUAUACAAAUGAGGGAACUGAUGACAUCACUCACUCACUAUUUCUUUUGUAUUUUAUUAUAUAAAAUAUGAAUUAUUUCUAAUUUUCUCCUCAUUGUCCUGUGAGACAAAGUGUUAUUCCUCCCUGAACAUGUGGUAUUACCAUUGUUAUAACAUCUUAUGGUUCUUGGUCCUUAAUGUCAAAUUGGUAAAAAUUGAAAUAUUGUAUAAUUCAAACAAUAAAAAACAAAAGAAAUAGUGAGUGAUGGACAUCAUCACUCUCUCAUUUGCAUGUCACUGAGUUGUGCAUAACCGUUUUGUGUAAAAUAAGCGAUACAUAAAAAUUUUACAUCCGAUUUCGAUGAAAUUUUCAGCAUUAUGCUUGUUUGAUUUUUUUUUCAAAUGAUUCAAAUCAACAUUUUCUGUGGUGGACUUGACCUUUAUAUAAGUGUGGAGUUCCAUGGGCAUCUAUCUUACGGCAGACAAAAUAAGAAUGCUGGAUUUUCUGCACUCUCCUCGACUUUCACCCGAUAACUUUAUCCACUGCGUUUGAUGUAUUCACGUAUUGCAUUGUAAUUGUAUAUUGUAAAACAAGUAUCUCAUCAUUAUUUUACAAAAUAAAUUUUAUAAUAAAUAUGAUAGAUUAAGUUUUUUUAUGAGUUAUCAAGUUUUACUAAGUCGUGUACUCUUAAUGGAAAGCCAAAGUAACUUGAGGGCAUUUUUCAGUUUUCUUUCGUGGAAUUUGUAUUUGGAAAUAGAAUAGAAAACCAAGAGAGACGGAGUUGAACGCAGGAAUUUUUGCAAGGAAGAGGACAAAUAAAUAGUAAAAUGUUCAAGAAUACAUUUUAACGAGGGCCGAAUUGAAGGAACUGGUGCUCAUUUUGGUUGGAUUGAAAAAAAAAACAUUUCAAGUGAAAAACAAUUAUAAAAAAAUCGGGGGAGGGGCAGUAUGGCCGUACAUACACAUAUGUUAAUAAGAAAUAAUAUUUUUCAUUUCAAUGAACAUCACAGCAUGCAGUGAAAAAAAUUUAUUAAUCAAUUAUAUCGUGUCUUCCUUAACUUUUUUGGCAUUAUGUUUUAGACUUUCAUUUUAUACAUAAAUUCUUUUGUUCCAGUUAGUUUUAUACUUGUAUUGAUUCAUUGACCAGUCUUAAAUCUGUUAAGAAAAUACUAUAUCAUUAGUGGUACUAUCUUGAUAGUAAAAAGAACACAUUGUAUUUGCUAGAUUGAUAUUGUUCGUUAAGAGAGCAAACUCGAUCAUGUUUUUUGUUUAAGUCAUAUUGUUUCGUAGAUCUAUAUAUAUAUAAUAUGUGCGCCAUAUGACAAAUCUUGUAUCGUGUUUUAUUAGAGAAAAAUAAAUGUGUGAAUCUAAAUUAA